AGGGCGCACGGUGGAUGCCUUGGCACUAGAAGCCGAUGAAGGACGUGACUAACGACGAAAUGCUUUGGGGAGCUGUAAGUGAGCAAUGAUCCAGAGAUGUCCGAAUGGGGGAACCCGGCAGGUAAUGCCUGUCACUCAUUACUGUUAAGGUAAUGUAGAGGAAGACGCAGUGAACUGAAACAUCUAAGUAGCUGCAGGAAGAGAAAGCAAAAGCGAUUGCCUUAGUAGCGGCGAGCGAAACGGCAAGAGGGCAAACCGAAGAGUUUACUCUUCGGGGUUGUAGGACUGCAACGUGGACUUAAAGAUUAUAGAAGAACUACCUGGGAAGGUAGGCCAAAGAGAGUAAUAGCCUCGUAUUCGAAAUAGUCUUUAUACCUAGCAGUAUCCUGAGUACGGCGAGACACGAGAAAUCUCGUCGGAAUCUGGGAGGACCAUCUCCCAACCCUAAAUACUCUCUAGUGACCGAUAGUGAACCAGUACCGUGAGGGAAAGGUGAAAAGCACCCCGGGAGGGGAGUGAAAUAGAACCUGAAACCGUGUGCCUACAACAAGUUCGAGCCCGUUAAUGGGUGAGAGCGUGCCUUUUGUAGAAUGAACCGGCGAGUUACGAUAUGAUGCGAGGUUAAGUUGAAGAGACGGAGCCGUAGGGAAACCGAGUCUUAAUAGGGCGCAUUAGUAUCAUGUCGUAGACCCGAAACCAUGUGACCUACCCAUGAGCAGGUUGAAGGUGAGGUAAAACUCACUGGAGGACCGAACCAGGGCACGUUGAAAAGUGCUUGGAUGACUUGUGGGUAGCGGAGAAAUUCCAAACGAACUUGGAGAUAGCUGGUUCUCUCCGAAAUAGCUUUAGGGCUAGCGUCGAUGUUAAGUCUCUUGGAGGUAGAGCACUGUUUGGGUGAGGGGUCCAUCCCGGAUUACCAAUCUCAGAUAAACUCCGAAUGCCAACGAGAUAUAAUCGGCAGUCAGACUGCGAGUGCUAAGAUCCGUAGUCGAAAGGGAAACAGCCCAGACCACCAGCUAAGGUCCCAAAAUAUAUGUUAAGUGGAAAAGGAUGUGGGGUUGCACAGACAACUAGGAUGUUAGCUUAGAAGCAGCUAUUCAUUCAAAGAGUGCGUAAUAGCUCACUAGUCGAGUGACCCUGCGCCGAAAAUGUACCGGGGCUAAAACAUAUUACCGAAGCUGUGGAUACCUUUAUAGGUAUGGUAGGAGAGCGUUCUAUGUGCGAAGAAGGUGUACCGUGAGGAGUGCUGGAGCGCAUAGAAGUGAGAAUGCCGGUAUGAGUAGCGAAAGACAGGUGAGAAUCCUGUCCACCGUAAGACUAAGGUUUCCAGGGGAAGGCUCGUCCGCCCUGGGUUAGUCGGGACCUAAGGAGAGACCGAAAGGUGUAUCCGAUGGACAACAGGUUGAUAUUCCUGUACUAGAGUAUAUAGUGAUGGAGGGACGCAGUAGGCUAACUAAACCAGACGAUUGGAAGUGUCUGGCCAAGCAGUGAGGUGUGAUAUGAGUCAAAUGCUUAUAUCUAUAACAUUGAGCUGUGAUGGGGAGCGAAGUUUAGUAGCGAAGUUAGUGAUGUCACACUGCCGAGAAAAGCUUCUAGCGUUAAUUAUACUCUACCCGUACCGCAAACCGACACAGGUAGUCGAGGCGAGUAGCCUCAGGUGAGCGAGAGAACUCUCGUUAAGGAACUCGGCAAAAUGGCCCCGUAACUUCGGGAGAAGGGGCGCUGACUGAUGGUCAGCCGCAGUGAAUAGGCCCAAGCAACUGUUUAUCAAAAACACAGCUCUCUGCUAAAUCGUAAGAUGAUGUAUAGGGGGUGACGCCUGCCCGGUGCUGGAAGGUUAAGAGGAGUGCUUAGCGUAAGCGAAGGUAUGAAUUGAAGCCCCAGUAAACGGCGGCCGUAACUAUAACGGUCCUAAGGUAGCGAAAUUCCUUGUCGGGUAAGUUCCGACCCGCACGAAAGGCGUAAUGAUUUGGGCACUGUCUCAACGAGAGACUCGGUGAAAUUUUAGUACCUGUGAAGAUGCAGGUUACCCGCGACAGGACGGAAAGACCCCAUGGAGCUUUACUGCAGUUUGAUAUUGAGUAUCUGUACCACAUGUACAGGAUAGGUAGGAGCCUAUGACCUCGGGACGCCAGUUUCGAGUGAGGCGUUGUUGGGAUACUACCCUUGUGUUAUGGCUACUCUAACCCAGAUAGGUUAUCCCUAUCGGAGACAGUGUCUGACGGGCAGUUUGACUGGGGCGGUCGCCUCCUAAAAGGUAACGGAGGCGCCCAAAGGUUCCCUCAGAAUGGUUGGAAAUCAUUCGCAGAGUGUAAAGGUAUAAGGGAGCUUGACUGCGAGAG
Molecule: ribosomal RNA, 2342 nt
Filed under: human gut metagenome
Description: bacterial LSU rRNA
Rfam family: Bacterial large subunit ribosomal RNA
Source: RNAcentral